This 612-nucleotide long non-coding RNA is filed under the name Homo sapiens (human). Its description in RNAcentral is "long non-coding RNA NONHSAT118625.2". Lineage: Eukaryota; Metazoa; Chordata; Mammalia; Primates; Hominidae. The record is from RNAcentral.
GCCGAGGGGUCCGCGCGCGGGGGGCGCCCAGGGGCCGUCGGGUCCGUCCGAGCCGCCCGCCGCUCAGGGGCGCCUGGCCCCGGACAGCGCUGGCGAGGGCGCCCCGGGCCGUGAGCCCCCCGCCAGCCCCGCUCCCCCGGGGAAGGAGCACCCCCGGGACCUCAAGUUCAGCAUCGACUACAUCCUGUCCUCCCCAGACCCCUUCCCUGGGCUCAAGCCGCCCUGCCUCGCACAAGAGGGCAGAUACCCGCGGCUGGAGAACGUGGGACUCCACUUUUGGACAAUGUGAUGUGGAGCCACCCUGGAGGCCCCUGCAGUUCAGUCUGGGGUCUUCCCCGGACCCUCCCUGGAAAGACGAUUCCAGCCCCACCUUGAGCCAGGAAGCCAGGGUUCGGCAAAUCCUACAAUUUCUCCUGCAGACAGAAGAUGGAAGCAGGACAGCGGCAGAUUUGAGAGCAACCACCAGGUCCCUGAGUGCAAACUGACCACAGAUGAGCCCCUCCUCCCCACUGCUGACUUGCUGGGUAUAGCGGAGCAGCACCCCUCCAGAGAGCCCUCCUGGGCUGACACCUGCCCUUUGCACCCAGCUGAAAUAAAACUCUUGGAAUCUGC